Non-coding RNA from Hydra vulgaris (swiftwater hydra), 441 nucleotides. The record is from RefSeq and is a predicted model, not a curated record. NCBI's taxonomy places the organism in Eukaryota, Metazoa, Cnidaria, Hydrozoa, Anthoathecata, Hydridae.
UCAUAAGACUUAAAAAAGUGAAAAAAAGUUUUAUAAAAAGAUGCACCUAUGGAGUUUCGCUGGAAUAUCUUUGUUGAUCGUUUUAUCGAAUUCAGAGUUAGUUACAUUAAAUAACGAUGAUAACAGUAACAGUUCUAUACAAUCGUGCUACAGAAACUAUUUUACUAUGGCACAAGAAAACUGCUUUUUUACGUCGAAUGUCAACCUUGGAUCAAACUCCGGCUCCAACACGUGUAUCACUCCACCAUGCAGUACGGCUAGAUUAGCCUCUGAAGAUGAAUGCAAUAAAUACAUUUCAUUUUUUAAAACCAUUUUAGGGGUUAGUUUUUGUGACGGGUAUUUACAAAUGGUAAACAAUAUGGAUACAGACAUAAGUUAUUCGAUAUGCUGUGAAUAAGUAUAACAGGUCAUAAAAAAAUAAAUAUCAGAAAAAAAAAUUUA